RNAcentral lists this ribosomal RNA (463 nucleotides) under uncultured bacterium. RNAcentral describes it as "partial 16S ribosomal RNA". It matches the Rfam family "Bacterial small subunit ribosomal RNA", at positions 28 to 507 of the family's 1533-position model. The record is from RNAcentral.
GAUGAACGCUGACAGAAUGCUUAACACAUGCAAGUCUUUGGCGAAGCUGUGCUUGCACAGCCUAGCCAAGGCGGACGGGUGAGUAACGCGUAAGGAACUUGCCCUGCAGUCAGGGAUAACAGACGGAAACGACUGAUAAGACCUGGUAAAGUCAGGCGGACUCAUGUCCAGCCUGAUGAAAAGAGAUGCUGCAGGAGAGCCUUGCGUCCUAUUAGCUUGUUGGUGGGGUAACGGCCCACCAAGGCGAUGAUAGGUAGCCGGCCUGAGAGGGUGGACGGCCACAAGGGGACUGAGAUACGGCCCUUACUCCUACGGGAGGCAGCAGUGGGGAAUAUUGGACAAUGGGGGCAACCCUGAUCCAGCAAUUCUGUGUGCACGAUGAAGGUUUUCGGAUUGUAAAGUGCUUUCAGCAGGGAAGAAAAAAAUGACGGCACCUGCAGAAGAAGCGACGGCUAAAUACGUG